GGGGGGUUAGCUGAGUGGUUUAGCUGUAAUUUUACACAUUAUGUACAGAGUUUCGAUUACUCUACUCCCUA
Molecule: transfer RNA, 71 nt
Filed under: Armillaria gallica
Lineage: Eukaryota; Fungi; Basidiomycota; Agaricomycetes; Agaricales; Physalacriaceae
Also listed under: 1 other name
Description: tRNA-Val
Rfam family: tRNA
About the family: Transfer RNA (tRNA) molecules are approximately 80 nucleotides in length. Their secondary structure includes four short double-helical elements and three loops (D, anti-codon, and T loops).
Source: RNAcentral